UGGCCCGUCGUCCAAUGGCAGGACACCGCUCUUUGGCAGCGGCGAUGAUGGUUCGAAUCCAUCCGGGCCAA
This 71-nucleotide transfer RNA is filed under the name Pseudomonadota bacterium. Its description in RNAcentral is "Proteobacteria bacterium tRNA-Gln". It matches the Rfam family "tRNA". Rfam says of the family: Transfer RNA (tRNA) molecules are approximately 80 nucleotides in length. Their secondary structure includes four short double-helical elements and three loops (D, anti-codon, and T loops). RNAcentral also lists the same sequence under 2 other names. The record is from RNAcentral. Lineage: Bacteria; Pseudomonadati; Pseudomonadota.